UAACGAGGUUGAAGUCCAGGGUGUCGCACA
This 30-nucleotide non-coding RNA is filed under the name Homo sapiens (human). Lineage: Eukaryota; Metazoa; Chordata; Mammalia; Primates; Hominidae. The record is from RNAcentral.